UCGAGAAUUUUUCACAAUGGGGGAAACCCUGAUGGAGCGACGCCGCGUGGAGGACGAAGGCCUUCGGGUUGUAAACUCCUGUCAUGCGGGAACAAGAAAGUGAUAGUACCGCAAGAGGAAGAGACGGCUAACUCUGUGCCAGCAGCCGCGGUAAUACAGAGGUCUCGAGCGUUGUUCGGAUUCAUUGGGCGUAAAGGGUGCGUAGGUGGCGAUGUAAGUCUGGUGUGAAAUCUCAGGGCUCAACCUUGAAAUUGCAUUGGAUACUGCGUUGCUGGAGGAUUGUAGAGGAGAGUGGAAUUCACGGUGUAGCAGUGAAAUGCGUAGAUAUCGUGAGGAAGACCAGUUGCGAAGGCGACUCUCUGGGCAAUUCCUGACACUGAGGCACGAAGGCUAGGGGAGCAAACGGG
RNAcentral lists this ribosomal RNA (407 nucleotides) under uncultured bacterium. Its description in RNAcentral is "bacterial SSU rRNA". It matches the Rfam family "Bacterial small subunit ribosomal RNA", at positions 355 to 776 of the family's 1533-position model. The record is from RNAcentral.